AGGCCAGACUCCUACGGGAGGCAGCAGUGGGGAAUAUUGCACAAUGGGGGGAACCCUGAUGCAGCGACGCCGCGUGGGUGAAGGAGUACUUCGGUACGUAAAGCCCUAUCAGCAGGAAAGAAAAUGACGGUACCUGACUAAGAAGCCCCGGCUAACUACGUGCCAGCAGCCGCGGUAAUACGUAGGGGGCAAGCGUUAUCCGGAUUUACUGGGUGUAAAGGGAGCGUAGACGGCAGUGCAAGUCCGGAGUGAAGGCCCGGGGCUCAACCCUGGGACUGCUCUGGAAACUGUAAAGCUGGAGUGCGGGAGGGGCAGGCGGAAUUCCUGGUGUAGCGGUGAAAUGCGUAGAGAUCAAGAGGAAUACUCAUUGCGAAGGCGACCUGCUAGAACAUAACUGACGCUGAUGCGCGAAAGCGUGGGGAGCAAACAGGAUUAGAUACCCUGGUA
RNAcentral lists this ribosomal RNA (447 nucleotides) under uncultured bacterium. RNAcentral's name for it is "bacterial SSU rRNA". It matches the Rfam family "Bacterial small subunit ribosomal RNA", at positions 328 to 792 of the family's 1533-position model. The record is from RNAcentral.